This is a non-coding RNA of Nicotiana tabacum (common tobacco), 1264 nucleotides long. Lineage: Eukaryota; Viridiplantae; Streptophyta; Magnoliopsida; Solanales; Solanaceae. The record is from RefSeq and is a predicted model, not a curated record.
CCAGGCGCCCCCCCCCCUCCUCUCUCGCGCGCGCACACGAACAAAAUCAUCUCCAACACAGUGCACUCAUCUUGCAAACGCUACAUUCUUCUACCUCCGCUACUCACCCGAACAACGUCCUCUCUUUGAAUCAUGAGUUUAGGGAAGAAGAUCAGAAUAGGAUUUGACGGAUUUGGAAGAAUCAAUCGGUUUAUUACGAGAGCAGCUGGCCAAAGGAACGACUCGAAGCUUUCCAGUGGAAAUGAUGCACUUAAGGUAUCAAUUUUUAUAGUAUUGUUAUUUCAGUGCGGGCAGAGUUAAAUUGCAAGAGCAAUUUGUUGUGUAUAUGAUGAACCAGAAACACUGUUUGUACGAUUUGAUGCUUUGGGCCUUCUCAUGCUAUUUUGCUUAAAAUCAGAUAUAUAUGUGAUAUAUUAUCUGUACCAUUUUAUGUGACAAGAUUUGACUAGACAUGGAGUUAAAAAGUUAAUUUGACUUGUAUAUUGUAAUAGCGGUAGUGGAAGAGAAUAUUGUGUAAUAGUUGAAAAGUAGUUCUAUCACUAAAACAUCUUAUUAAAGUUUAAAAAUUGAAUAGUUAAAUGAAUUUGAAUGUUACUUCAUCAAAGAAGAAGAAAGAGAAUUUGAAUAAUUGAAAGUUGUGAAUAUAAAUGCCACGUUUCGUUUUAGUGGCGUUGGGAAAGGGAAAAGUGCUAAAGAAAAUUGAAAUGGAAGAAGCGCCAAAAUAGCUUCAACAUGAAGCAGGUUCAUAGGAGCUAUAGAAUUUGCUCCAAUCCCUUUUCAUCAAAAAAAGAAGAAAAAAAGAAUAAAAAAAAGAAGAAUUGGCUUCAAUCUUUCUAUCUGCCACCAUAUUAAUAUUUGCGAUAAGGCAAUUACACCUGAUUAAUGCUACAUACAGUACAACAUAUUGUUUGUUGCGAGUGAAAUUGUCAAUGUUUCUCGAUUGACAAGAACCAAAUAGUUCGUGCCAUAGAUAGGAGAGAAGUGCUUAUGUUGUUCUUUUCCAUGUUGUGACAACAUGAUACAUUUGUAGCUUAUAUCUUCGACCAUGCUUUUCUUACCUUGUAAAAUGACGUGUUAUUUCCUAUUUAGGAGGAUACUGAACAAUCCAACGAGUUUGUGUAGAGGAACUUCCUUCAGUCUGUUAGAAAUAGCUAUGUAAUUGUCCCACAUUGAAAUAGGAAUAGUAUCCCCUUUGUAUAGAGUAGCUAUAAAUAGCACCUCUUGUAUUGCAUCACAUACAAUAUCAAUAUAUCAUAUUUUCUCC